AAGGUUUCCGUAGGUGAACCUGCGGAAGGAUCAUUGUCGAUGCCUUACAUGCAGUCCAACACGUGAAUAAGUUUGAACACAUACGGGUGGGCUUGAGGUGUUCCACACCUCGGCUUACCUCUGGUUCGGAGGCGGACGACGAAGUGCGUUCUCCUCCGCGCCAAAACUCAAACCCCGGCGCUGAUGCGUCAAGGAAUUUAAAUUUUGCUCUGAGCGCACCUGCAUGGCACCGGAGACGGUUUUUGUGCGGGUUGUGUUUUGACACAUGAUAUAGAAUGACUCUCGGCAACGGAUAUCUAGGCUCUUGCAUCGAUGAAGAACGUAGCGAAAUGCGAUACUUGGUGUGAAUUGCAGAAUCCCGUGAACCAUCGAGUCUUUGAACGCAAGUUGCGCCCGAUGCCAUUAGGUUGAGGGCACGUCUGCCUGGGUGUCACAUAUCGAAGCCUCCUGCCAAUUUCCCUUAGAUUAUUGUGUAGGGUGGAUGUUGGCCUCCCGUGAGCUCGUCUCAUGGUUGGUUGAAAAUUGAGACCUUGGUAGGGURUGCCAUGAUAGAUGGUGGUUGUGUGACCCACGAGACCAAUCAUGCGCUACUCUAUUUAAUUUGGCCUCUUUUACCCAUAUGCGUUACUAAACGCUCGUGAUGAGACCUCAGGUCAGGCGGGGCUACCCGCUGAAUUUAAGCAUAUCAAUAAGCGGAGGAAAAGAAACUAACAAGGAUUCC
Molecule: ribosomal RNA, 721 nt
Filed under: Vicia pannonica
Lineage: Eukaryota; Viridiplantae; Streptophyta; Magnoliopsida; Fabales; Fabaceae
Description: eukaryotic LSU rRNA
Rfam family: 5.8S ribosomal RNA (bases 278-433)
Source: RNAcentral